AGAAUAUUAAGAUAAUAAUUCUAUUAACCUUCAAAGUUAAAAGUUCU
Molecule: transfer RNA, 47 nt
Filed under: Plexippus paykullii
Lineage: Eukaryota; Metazoa; Arthropoda; Arachnida; Araneae; Salticidae
Description: Plexippus paykulli tRNA-Trp
Source: RNAcentral